Molecule: transfer RNA, 77 nt
Filed under: Chloracidobacterium sp.
Lineage: Bacteria; Pseudomonadati; Acidobacteriota; Blastocatellia; Chloracidobacteriales; Chloracidobacteriaceae
Description: tRNA-Leu
Rfam family: tRNA
About the family: Transfer RNA (tRNA) molecules are approximately 80 nucleotides in length. Their secondary structure includes four short double-helical elements and three loops (D, anti-codon, and T loops). Further hydrogen bonds mediate the characteristic L-shaped molecular structure. tRNAs have two regions of fundamental functional importance: the anti-codon, which is responsible for specific mRNA codon recognition, and the 3' end, to which the tRNAs corresponding amino acid is attached (by aminoacyl-tRNA synthetases). tRNAs cope with the degeneracy of the genetic code in two manners: having more than one tRNA (with a specific anti-codon) for a particular amino acid; and 'wobble' base-pairing, i.e. permitting non-standard base-pairing at the 3rd anti-codon position.
Source: RNAcentral
GCCGAAGUGGCGCAACCGGUAGACGCGCGGAGCUUAAGCCUCCGAACACUUUGAGGGUUCGACUCCCUCCUUCGGCA